AAAAAAUGUGAUUAGCAUGAUAAUAAUUCCCGAUUGAGUGGGUGGUUAGUUGAAUAGUAUAAUCUAUUAGAUUAUUUAAUAGUGUGCAUUAGCUUUUAUUUAUUAUUUUAUUACUUAUUCUAAUAUAAUUUUUAAUAAUAAUUAAGUUAUUAAAAUUAUUACUUAAUUUGAUAAAAUAUAUUUAAUUCUAAAAAAUAAA
This 199-nucleotide long non-coding RNA is filed under the name Ananas comosus (pineapple). RNAcentral's name for it is "long non-coding RNA (ACOM_LNC004048)". The record is from RNAcentral. Lineage: Eukaryota; Viridiplantae; Streptophyta; Magnoliopsida; Poales; Bromeliaceae.